Molecule: long non-coding RNA, 328 nt
Filed under: Elaeis guineensis (African oil palm)
Lineage: Eukaryota; Viridiplantae; Streptophyta; Magnoliopsida; Arecales; Arecaceae
Description: long non-coding RNA (EGUI_LNC010726)
Source: RNAcentral
UUUAGUUGUAAAAUAGAGGAAGAUGAUGAAGAAGAAAGGUGGCUGCCUAGCUGGUGACUAGCUACUGGAAGUAGAAGACCAACGACAUAUGCCGAUGGUGAGGACAACCGAAAAAAGGCAAACACUGUCAAAAAGAAUCACUCUAAAAUCGGGGAUAAACAUGAGAUGUUUUCCAUGCUUUGCUCUGAUGAGACUUUGGCCAAAGAAGAGGGCCUAAGACAAGAAAGGAAAGGGACAAAAAAGACCAGAUGGCUCGCCUAAGGUUCUGGCAAGCCUUGGUGAUGGUUUUUCGGCCAGCAUGAUGAACUUAAUUAAUAGAUUUUUAGGG